UACGGAGGGGGCUAGCGUUGUUCGGAAUUACUGGGCGUAAAGCGCACGUAGGCGGCUUUGUAAGUUAGAGGUGAAAGCCCGGGGCUCAACUCCGGAAUUGCCUUUAAGACUGCAUCGCUAGAAUUGUGGAGAGGUAAGUGGAAUUCCGAGUGUAGAGGUGAAAUUCGUAGAUAUUCGGAAGAACACCAGUGGCGAAGGCGACUUACUGGACACAUAUUGACGCUGAGACGCGAAAGCGUGGGGAGCGAACAGG
This 253-nucleotide ribosomal RNA is filed under the name uncultured bacterium. RNAcentral describes it as "partial 16S ribosomal RNA". It matches the Rfam family "Bacterial small subunit ribosomal RNA", at positions 524 to 776 of the family's 1533-position model. The record is from RNAcentral.